This 388-nucleotide ribosomal RNA is filed under the name uncultured bacterium. RNAcentral's name for it is "bacterial SSU rRNA". It matches the Rfam family "Bacterial small subunit ribosomal RNA", at positions 28 to 416 of the family's 1533-position model. The record is from RNAcentral.
GACGAACGCUGGCGGCGUGCUUAACACAUGCAAGUCGAACGGUGACCCAGGGCUUGCCCUGGUGAUCAGUGGCGAACGGGUGAGUAACACGUGGGCAACCUGCCCCUGACUUCGGGAUAACUCCUCGAAAGAGGAGCUAAUACCGGAUACGACCACUUCGGACAUCCGAUGGUGGUGGAAAGUUUUUCGGUCAGGGAUGGGCCCGCGGCCUAUCAGCUAGUUGGUGGGGUAAUGGCCUACCAAGGCGACGACGGGUAGCCGGCCUGAGAGGGCGACCGGCCACACUGGGACUGAGACACGGCCCAGACUCCUACGGGAGGCAGCAGUGGGGAAUAUUGCGCAAUGGGCGAAAGCCUGACGCAGCGACGCCGCGUGAGGGAUGAAGGCC